CGAAUUAGCGUUCAGAACUGGAUGAAAUUGAACCACUUUGUGGUCCGAAAUCUGGCCAACAGCGUCCCUAUAUAUUUUUAUUUGCCAUGACAUCAAUUGCGUCGAAAUUUUCGAUGAAAAAACAAUCAAAAACCUUAUAAUAAUUAAAGUACCACCAUUGUUAAAUUUGGCAAGCUAAAACCGACAAAAUAUUGAAGAAUUUCAUAGCUUGACGAUGUAUAAAAGAGUUCCACAUCGUGGGGGAUUGCUCAGUAGAUAUCGCAAAAUGUUCAUAAAUUUCAUUAAACUCUGGGCCUUUUUGGGAUUACUUUCUU
Molecule: long non-coding RNA, 314 nt
Organism: Drosophila ficusphila
Lineage: Eukaryota; Metazoa; Arthropoda; Insecta; Diptera; Drosophilidae
Exons: 3
Source: RefSeq, a predicted model, not a curated record